This 76-nucleotide transfer RNA is filed under the name Caldinitratiruptor microaerophilus. Its description in RNAcentral is "tRNA-Lys". It matches the Rfam family "tRNA". From Rfam's summary of the family: Transfer RNA (tRNA) molecules are approximately 80 nucleotides in length. Their secondary structure includes four short double-helical elements and three loops (D, anti-codon, and T loops). Further hydrogen bonds mediate the characteristic L-shaped molecular structure. tRNAs have two regions of fundamental functional importance: the anti-codon, which is responsible for specific mRNA codon recognition, and the 3' end, to which the tRNAs corresponding amino acid is attached (by aminoacyl-tRNA synthetases). tRNAs cope with the degeneracy of the genetic code in two manners: having more than one tRNA (with a specific anti-codon) for a particular amino acid; and 'wobble' base-pairing, i.e. permitting non-standard base-pairing at the 3rd anti-codon position. Lineage: Bacteria; Bacillati; Bacillota; Clostridia; Eubacteriales; Symbiobacteriaceae. RNAcentral also lists the same sequence under 1 other name. The record is from RNAcentral.
GGGCCAUUAGCUCAGUUGGUAGAGCACCCGCCUUUUAAGCGGGGUGUCGUUGGUUCGAGCCCAACAUGGCCCGCCA